GAUGAACGCUGGCGGCGUGCCUAAUACAUGCAAGUCGAGCGAAUGGAUUAAGAGCUUGCUCUUAUGAAGUUAGCGGCGGACGGGUGAGUAACACGUGGGUAACCUGCCCAUAAGACUGGGAUAACUCCGGGAAACCGUGGCUAAUACUGGAUAACAUUUUGAACCGCAUGGUUCGAAAUUGAAAGGCGGCUUCGGCUGUCACUUCUGGAUGGACCCGCGUCGCAUUAGCUAGUGGGUGAGGUAACGGAUCACCAAGGCAACGAUGCGUAGCCGACCUGAGAGGGUGAUCGGCCACACUGGGACUGAGACACGGCCCAGACUCCUACGGGAGGCAGCAGUAGGGAAUCUUCCGCAAUGGACGAAAGUCUGACGGAGCAACGCCGCGUGAGUGAUGAAGGCUUUCGGGUCGUAAAACUCUGUUGUUAGGGAAGAACAAGUGCUAGUUGAAUAAGCUGACACCUUGACGGUACCUAACCAGAAAGCCACGGCUAACUACGUGCCAGCAGCCGCCGCCG
This 515-nucleotide ribosomal RNA is filed under the name uncultured bacterium. Its description in RNAcentral is "partial 16S ribosomal RNA". It matches the Rfam family "Bacterial small subunit ribosomal RNA", at positions 28 to 523 of the family's 1533-position model. The record is from RNAcentral.